AUUGAACGCUGGCGGAAUGCUUUACACAUGCAAGUCGAACGGUAACAGGUCUUCGGAUGCUGACGAGUGGCGAACGGGUGAGUAAUAUAUCGGAACGUACCUUAUCGUGGGGGAUAACGCAGCGAAAGCUGUGCUAAUACCGCAUACGCCCUGAGGGGAAAGCGGGGGAUCGAAAGACCUCGCGCGAUUAGAGCGGCCGAUGCCUGAUUAGCUUGUUGGUGGGUAAAAGCCCACCAAGGCGACGAUCAGUAGCUGGUCUGAGAGGACGAUCAGCCACACUGGGACUGAGACACGGCCCAGACUCCUACGGGAGGCAGCAGUGGGGAAUUUUGGACAAUGGGCGAAAGCCUGAUCCAGCAAUGCCGCGUGAGUGAUGAAGGCCUUAGGGUUGUAAAGCACUUUCAGCGAGGAGGAAAGGUCAGUAGCUAAUAUCUGCUGGCUGUGACGUUACUCGCAGAAGAAGCACCGGCUAACUCCGUGCC
This 482-nucleotide ribosomal RNA is filed under the name uncultured bacterium. RNAcentral describes it as "bacterial SSU rRNA". It matches the Rfam family "Bacterial small subunit ribosomal RNA", at positions 30 to 509 of the family's 1533-position model. The record is from RNAcentral.